This 424-nucleotide ribosomal RNA is filed under the name uncultured bacterium. RNAcentral describes it as "bacterial SSU rRNA". It matches the Rfam family "Bacterial small subunit ribosomal RNA", at positions 355 to 776 of the family's 1533-position model. The record is from RNAcentral.
UGGGGAAUUUUGCGCAAUGGGGGAAACCCUGACGCAGCGAUGCCGCGUGGAGGACGAAGGUCUUCGGAUUGUAAACUCCUUUUGUCGGUGAAAAACAUUUACGUGAAUAACGUAAACUGAUUGUAUCCGGCGAAUAAGCCACGGCUAACUUCGUGCCAGCAGCCGCGGUAAGACGAAGGUGGCGAGCGUUACUCGGAUUUACUAGGCGUAAAGCGUGGGCAGGCGGCUCGAUAAGUCUCUUGUGAAAGCCUUGGGCUUAACCCAGGGAGGCCAAGAGAUACUAUCGGGCCUGGAUGUGGGAGAGGAGACUGGAAUUCCCGGUGUAGCGGUGAAAUGCGUUGAUAUCGGGAGGAACACCAAUGGCGAAAGCAAGUCUCUGGACCACCAUCGACGCUCAUCCACGAAAGCUGGGGGAUCAAACAGG